Molecule: non-coding RNA, 130 nt
Organism: Oryza brachyantha (malo sina)
Lineage: Eukaryota; Viridiplantae; Streptophyta; Magnoliopsida; Poales; Poaceae
Source: Rfam
AAAAAAGCAGGAUGUUGUUCUGUUUGUAAGCAUUAUCCUCGUAAACUUUAGGAAUAUCAUAGUCAUUGUUAUUGGGUGAACCGGUGGGCACAUCUUGAUGCUGAUUGGUUCAGUAAACGGUGAAACAUUU